CCUAGUGACCGAUAGUGAACCAGUACCGUGAGGGAAAGGUGAAAAGCACCCCGGGAGGGGAGUGAAAUAGUUCCUGAAACCAUGUGCCUACAAUAAGUCAGAGCGCGUUAAUGCGUGAUGGCGUGCCUUUUGUAGAAUGAACCGGCGAGUUAUGAUCCCGUGCAAGGUUAAGACUAAAAAGUCGGAGCCGUAGCGAAAGCAAGUCUGAAAUGGGCGUUUUGAGUACGAGGUUAUAGACCCGAAACCAGGUGACCUAUCCAUGUCCAGGUUGAAGGUGCGGUAAAACGCACUGGAGGACCGAACCCGUGUAAGUUGAAAAUUGCUGGGAUGAGGUGUGGAUAGCGGUGAAAUUCCAAACGAACUUGGAGAUAGCUGGUUCUCUCCGAAAUAGCUUUAGGGCU
Molecule: ribosomal RNA, 401 nt
Filed under: Lactiplantibacillus plantarum
Lineage: Bacteria; Bacillati; Bacillota; Bacilli; Lactobacillales; Lactobacillaceae
Description: bacterial LSU rRNA
Rfam family: Bacterial large subunit ribosomal RNA
Source: RNAcentral